UUUGCAUUAUUCAGAAUAUCUAGAGAUAGAAGUUCCACAACCAAAAUGAAUAAAAAUGGGGAAAUUGGGCAUCCCUGUCGUACACUUGUUGAUACUGAAUCUUUUGGAAGUAUUAAGGUUUAGUAGCACGGAACUAUUUAUAUCUUUGUAAAACAUGUUAAUUACUUUAAUAAAAUGUUCACCAAAUCCAAAAAGUUUAAGAGACCUAAAGAGAAAUGCAUGUUCAAUUGUGACAAAGGCUUUACAGAAGUCCAAAAAUAAGACAACCGCAUCUGAGUCAAUUGCAUAAAAGGUUUUCAUAAAAGGAAUUGACAAAUUAUGAUAUUCCAAUGGGAUCUUUGCAUAAAACAUCAUUCAUUUUGAGUGCAGUUAUUUUCUUUUGUACUUUCUCUUUUCAUGUGCAAAAAAGCAACUAGUGUUUCUUUCCCCCUCUUGAAUGCAUUUUGUUCUUGACCUUACAAAGGCACCCUUUGCCAGAUCCGUGUAAAGCUGUUCUAAUUCUAGUUGUAAAGACUUGAAUACAGACUCCUCUUCUUCAGAUAUAUUAUCUUUCUUUAGAAAACUGUCAAGCUUGCUCAUCAUCUCCUUUUCGUUAAGGUUAUUUAAUUGCAUCAGCUCUUUGGCGCGUUUAAUGACUACCACUCUGACUUUAUAUUUUAAAAAUUCCUAUCUACUUCCAUGACCCAAGUCUUUUCUUGUAAAAUGGCGGAAUGAUUUGUAAAUGGGCCAGCCUUGGCCGGAAAUUCGUCACUCGUUCAUCCCGCGAUGAUUGUGUUUCUAGCCACAAGUAGCUUGUAUUUGCUUUAUAUGCGCUAGUCAAUUAUGAGUGCAUGUCUAUAUAUAAUUCUUAAUAUACGCCUACUGUAUGAUAGUUAGAAAACUAACGUUAGCCCGCAUAGCUGGAACUUCUGAAGAAGGAAAAUUAUUUAUUUCUACAAUUUCCAAAAGAUAACCAAACAAAAACAUGUACUUUUUACGAGAUGUGAUUGUGCCGUCAUGUGCAUUAGAAGGACAAUGUCUAACUUAUUUGCAUUCGUUUUUACUUACACUUGUAUGUUGACUUCUCCAUUGAUGUUGUUUUUAAGUUUUCGCGGAUUUUUCAUAGCGGAUGUACAAUCGUCGCAAAUUGAAUUAUAGGGUGUUUCAGGAACCGGAGUGAACACAAUUGUACACCUGCAAAACCGACUAAAACGAGGGCUGAGGGGCUUACGUUGCAAACUUCCCUUGCUUGGCUAAUCGUUUGGACCACCCGCCAAGAUGGCGACGGGGAUUUCCCCAAGGGCAUAAGGCAAGGGUAAAUGGACGUGGGUGUGGCUUUUCAGUGUUUGGACCGCAACCCGGUGUUCCAGCACGGCACUACAGGGAGAUGGGGAAACUCCACUGAACUAGUUUCAAUCCUGAGGACUUCCCUGAGAUGGAGAUCUUGUGGCAGCUGACCUGCGCCUGGAACACAGGCAUCCUGCUUUACAGCCUGGCCGAGUACCCUGAGGGGUGGUGUGGCCUGGGCAUGAGCUUCCUCCGCCACCUGGGCUCCCUGCAGGAGAGCUACCAGACACAGAUGUCAGAUCUGUACACAGGUCCUGGAUAGUCUGGACAAAGCCAAGAAGAACCUCAUCAUGGAGGAUUGAUUUGAGCUGGUAGAGCUUUGCAGAGCUCUUUUACUGUCUGGUACCUGAUAUUAUUAAUGUGGUAGCUGGGAUGGUAGUUUACUGUAUGAUGGGUUGGCGCCCCCCCUUGGGUUGUGCCAUGGCGGAGAUCUUUGUGGGCUAUACUCGGCCUUGUCCCGGGAUGGUAUGUUGGUGGUUAGAGAUAUCCCUCCAAUGGUGUGGAGGCUGUGCUUUGGCAAAGUGGGUGGGGUUAUAUCCUACCUGUUUGGCCCUGUCCGGGGGUUUCAUCGGAUGGGGCCAGUGUCUCCUGACACAUCCUGG
Salmo salar (Atlantic salmon) is the source of this 1928-nucleotide RNA transcript. It is a transcript of the gene named testis-expressed protein 11, with no coding region annotated. The record is from RefSeq and is a predicted model, not a curated record. Lineage: Eukaryota; Metazoa; Chordata; Actinopteri; Salmoniformes; Salmonidae.